This 500-nucleotide ribosomal RNA is filed under the name uncultured bacterium. Its description in RNAcentral is "partial 16S ribosomal RNA". It matches the Rfam family "Bacterial small subunit ribosomal RNA", at positions 30 to 523 of the family's 1533-position model. The record is from RNAcentral.
AUUGAACGCUGGCGGAAUGCUUUACACAUGCAAGUCGAACGGCAGCACGGACUUCGGUCUGGUGGCGAGUGGCGAACGGGUGAGUAAUGUAUCGGAACGUGCCCAGUCGUGGGGGAUAACGUAGUGAAAAUUACGCUAAUACCGCAUACGAUCUAUGGAUGAAAGCGGGGGAUCGCAAGACCUCGCGCGAUUGGAGCGGCCGAUAUCAGAUUAGGUAGUUGGUGGGGUAAAGGCCCACCAAGCCAACGAUCUGUAGCUGGUCUGAGAGGACGACCAGCCACACUGGAACUGAGACACGGUCCAGACUCCUACGGGAGGCAGCAGUGGGGAAUUUUGGACAAUGGGCGAAAGCCUGAUCCGGCCAUUCCGCGUGCAGGAUGAAGGCCCUCGGGUUGUAAACUGCUUUUGUACAGAACGAAAAGGUUUCUACUAAUACUAGGAGCUCAUGAGGGUACUGUAAGAAUAAGCACCGGCUAACUACGUGCCAGCCGCCGCGGUAA